ACGGUGAUGAGGAGCUUGCUUCUCUGAUCAGUGGCGAACGGGUGAGUAACACGUGAGCAAUCUGCCCUUGACUCUGGGAUAAGCGUUGGAAACGACGUCUAAUACCGGAUACGACCCUUGGAGGCAUCUCUGGGGGUGGAAAGAAUUUUGGUCAAGGAUGAGCUCGCGGCCUAUCAGCUAGUUGGUGAGGUAAUGGCUCACCAAGGCGACGACGGGUAGCCGGCCUGAGAGGGUGACCGGCCACACUGGGACUGAGACACGGCCCAGACUCCUACGGGAGGCAGCAGUGGGGAAUAUUGCACAAUGGGCGAAAGCCUGAUGCAGCAACGCCGCGUGAGGGACGACGGCCUUCGGGUUGUAAACCUCUUUUAGUAGGGAAGAAGCGUAAAAGUGACGGUACCUGCAGAAAAAGCACCGGCUAACUACGUGCCAGCAGCCGCGGUAAUACGUAGGGUGCAAGCGUUGUCCGGAAUUAUUGGGCGUAAAGAGCUCGUAGGCGGUUUGUCGCGUCUGCUGUGAAAACCCGAGGCUCAACCUCGGGCCUGCAGUGGGUACGGGCAGACUAGAGUGCGGUAGGGGAGAUUGGAAUUCCUGGUGUAGCGGUGGAAUGCGCAGAUAUCAGGAGGAACACCAAUGGCGA
This 640-nucleotide ribosomal RNA is filed under the name uncultured bacterium. RNAcentral's name for it is "bacterial SSU rRNA". It matches the Rfam family "Bacterial small subunit ribosomal RNA", at positions 66 to 718 of the family's 1533-position model. The record is from RNAcentral.